GGAUGUGAGGGCGAUCUGGCUGCGACAUCUGUCACCCCACUGAUCACCAGGGUUGAUUCGGCUGAUCUGGCUGGCUAGGCGGGUGUCCCCUUCCUCCCUCACCACUCCAUGUGCGUCCCUCCCUAUGCUGUGUGCUCGGUCAAAGAGGGUGGCCUUCCCCACAUAGAGACGGACCAGUCUUUGGUCCAGGGUAUAGGAGUAGCUGCGCUCCCCUGCUAGAACCUCCAAACAAGCUCUCAAGGAAUAGGGAAGCUUCCAGUGGAGGGGAUGGGAUAUGGAACUCUGGUGGUGCGAAUUACAUGAAAUUGUACCCCUGCUA
Unclassified non-coding RNA from Erinaceus europaeus (western European hedgehog), 319 nucleotides. Its record names the gene 7SK. It matches the Rfam family "7SK RNA". From Rfam's summary of the family: 7SK was discovered as an abundant small nuclear RNA in the mid-70s but a possible function has only recently been suggested. The record is from Ensembl. NCBI's taxonomy places the organism in Eukaryota, Metazoa, Chordata, Mammalia, Eulipotyphla, Erinaceidae.